UACGGAGGGAGCUAGCGUUGUUCGGAUAUACUGGGCGUAAAGCGCACGUAGGCGGCGCCGUAAGUCAGGGGUGAAAUCCCGGAGCUCAACUCCGGAACUGCCUUUGAAACUGUUUAGCUUGAGGACGAGAGAGGUGAGUGGAAUUCCCAGUGUAGAGGUGAAAUUCGUAGAUAUUGGGAAGAACACCAGUGGCGAAGGCGACUCGCUGGACUGAUACUGACGCUGAGGUGCGAAAGCGUGGGGAGCAAAC
RNAcentral lists this ribosomal RNA (250 nucleotides) under uncultured bacterium. RNAcentral's name for it is "partial 16S ribosomal RNA". It matches the Rfam family "Bacterial small subunit ribosomal RNA", at positions 524 to 773 of the family's 1533-position model. The record is from RNAcentral.